GUGCUAAAACAUUUGGCAGCAAAUAUACUAAAAUUGGAAGGAUACACAAAAGAUUAGUAUGGCCCCUGCACCAGGAUGGCAUGCAAAUGUGUGAAGUGUUUCUUAUUUAU
Molecule: small nuclear RNA, 110 nt
Organism: Protopterus annectens (West African lungfish)
Lineage: Eukaryota; Metazoa; Chordata; Ceratodontiformes; Protopteridae
Source: RefSeq, a predicted model, not a curated record